UACAGAGGAUGCAAGCGUUAUCCGGAAUGAUUGGGCGUAAAGCGUCUGUAGGUGGCUUUUUAAGUCCGCCGUCAAAUCCCAGGGCUCAACUCUGGACAGGCGGUGGAAACUACCAAGCUGGAGUACGGUAGGGGCAGAGGGAAUUUCCGGUGGAGCGGUGAAAUGCGUAGAUAUCGUUUGGAACGCCAAUGGUGAAAACAGCUUGCUGGGAGUGUGCUGACGCUGAGACACGAAAGCCAGGGGAGCAAACGGG
This 253-nucleotide ribosomal RNA is filed under the name uncultured bacterium. Its description in RNAcentral is "partial 16S ribosomal RNA". It matches the Rfam family "Bacterial small subunit ribosomal RNA", at positions 524 to 776 of the family's 1533-position model. The record is from RNAcentral.